RNAcentral lists this ribosomal RNA (468 nucleotides) under uncultured bacterium. RNAcentral describes it as "partial 16S ribosomal RNA". It matches the Rfam family "Bacterial small subunit ribosomal RNA", at positions 28 to 507 of the family's 1533-position model. The record is from RNAcentral.
GACGAACGCUGGCGGCGUGCUUAACACAUGCAAGUCGAACGGAAAGGCCCUGCUUUUGUGGGGUGCUCGAGUGGCGAACGGGUGAGUAACACGUGAGUAACCUGCCCUUGACUUUGGGAUAACUUCAGGAAACUGGGGCUAAUACCGGAUAGGAGCUCCUGCUGCAUGGUGGGGGUUGGAAAGUUUCGGCGGUUGGGGAUGGACUCGCGGCUUAUCAGCUUGUUGGUGGGGUAGUGGCUUACCAAGGCUUUGACGGGUAGCCGGCCUGAGAGGGUGACCGGCCACAUUGGGACUGAGAUACGGCCCAGACUCCUACGGGAGGCAGCAGUGGGGAAUAUUGCACAAUGGGCGGAAGCCUGAUGCAGCAACGCCGCGUGCGGGAUGACGGCCUUCGGGUUGUAAACCGCUUUCGCCUGUGACGAAGCGCGAGUGACGGUAAUGGGCAAAGAAGCACCGGCUAACUACGUG